AUUGAACGCUGGCGGCAUGCCUUACACAUGCAAGUCGAACGGUAACGCGGGGCAACCUGGCGACGAGUGGCGAACGGGUGAGUAAUGCAUCGGAACGUGCCCAGUUGUGGGGGAUAACUGCUCGAAAGAGCAGCUAAUACCGCAUACGACCUGAGGGUGAAAGCGGGGGAUCGCAAGACCUCGCGCAAUUGGAGCGGCCGAUGUCGGAUUAGCUAGUUGGUGGGGUAAAGGCCCACCAAGGCGACGAUCCGUAGCUGGUCUGAGAGGACGACCAGCCACACUGGGACUGAGACACGGCCCAGACUCCUACGGGAGGCAGCAGUGGGGAAUUUUGGACAAUGGGCGCAAGCCUGAUCCAGCAAUGCCGCGUGCAGGAUGAAGGCCUUCGGGUUGUAAACUGCUUUUGUACGGAACGAAACGGCGAGCUCUAAUACAGCUUGCUAAUGACGGUACCGUAAGAAUAAGCACCGGCUAACUACGUGCCAGCAGCCGCCGUAA
This 498-nucleotide ribosomal RNA is filed under the name uncultured bacterium. Its description in RNAcentral is "partial 16S ribosomal RNA". It matches the Rfam family "Bacterial small subunit ribosomal RNA", at positions 29 to 523 of the family's 1533-position model. The record is from RNAcentral.